RNAcentral lists this ribosomal RNA (292 nucleotides) under uncultured bacterium. RNAcentral's name for it is "partial 16S ribosomal RNA". The record is from RNAcentral.
GGACUACUCGGGUUUCUAAUCCUGUUCGCUCCCCACGCUUUCGCUCCUCAGCGUCAGUAUCGGCCCAGAGACCCGCCUUCGCCACCGGUGUUCCUCCUGAUAUCUGCGCAUUUCACCGCUACACCAGGAAUUCCAGUCUCCCCUACCGAACUCCAGCCCGCCCGUAUCGGCUGCAAGCCCGCAGUUAAGCCACGGGAUUUCACAGCCGACGCAACGAGCCGCCUACGAGCUCUUUACGCCCAAUAAUUCCGGACAACGCUCGCGCCCUACGUCUUACCGCGGCUGCUGGCAC